AGAAUCUUGCAUCUUCAGUAAGGCAAUACAAGUGCAGCACUGAAGAUACACCAAGCACGCAACUGCAAUCUCUCUUGGCUCAGAAGAGAUAACAAAGGUCCCACUCUUCAGAUCAGCACACAUGCAGAAGCAGAUGCCCAGCUGUCUCAGUAUUUGUGAGCAACAGGUGUGGGCCUAGCAGCGGAAGAGCUGACGCACUCGGUGGUCCCAGCAGACAUCGGUGAGGCGGGCUCAUGGAAGCAGCAUGCACCAGGCAUGGAGGGAGGCCGCAGGGCAGCUGGACCUGCGUUUCU
Long non-coding RNA from Dryobates pubescens (Downy woodpecker), 293 nucleotides. RefSeq lists it as uncharacterized. The record is from RefSeq and is a predicted model, not a curated record. NCBI's taxonomy places the organism in Eukaryota, Metazoa, Chordata, Aves, Piciformes, Picidae. The transcript is spliced from 3 exons.